Molecule: long non-coding RNA, 1091 nt
Organism: Solea solea (common sole)
Lineage: Eukaryota; Metazoa; Chordata; Actinopteri; Pleuronectiformes; Soleidae
Exons: 2
Source: RefSeq, a predicted model, not a curated record
GGUGCGCUGUAGGAUAAUAAGCGCCGUGACUUUGUGCUUGAGCUGGCGAGAUACUCAAACCGAGAAUCAAUUGUCGACUCAACUGACAUUAGAACAAUAUUGAAGAUACGAUUAUGCCGCUGAAAAGGGCGCUGGUGCCAACUGGGUCUACAAGCCGGGAUAAUUUGAAAUUGUGUUUUCUGGAAAAAAAAAACCCAAAAACUUCGGCGGGAAUACACCUGCUAGCAUUAGCUUUGCCCCGGGAGACGAUGCUAGCUCUGCUACGCGACCUGAUGCUGCUGAAUGUGGAGACACAGUGGAGGUAGAGAAACUCUUGGUUAUUUCCAAGAAAUGAGAAUGGUAUUGUGGAUGUCUUGUCUGCAAGGAAGCCAAGACUCGCCGAAAACGAGUCCACCUCAGCACCUUUGCCCUUCCGUCUGACUGCCACUCGUCUGAACUCCUCCGGCUCUCUACUGCUGUUGAGAGUCAGACUGUUCCUCUUCUUCAGGUCAAACAUUGUUCAUCAGCAAACAACAAAAACAAAACACAGAAGACUGAGGCUCCACUGUCCUCACGCCGUUGCACUGAUUCACGUGCCUCAAUCAGCGCCACUAAUCUGCGCGCAGCUGUUCGAGCGCUGCCUCUGAUUGACAGCCGCACGCACCCAAUCAAAUCACACGCUCACCCCUGACGGAGCUGUGACGGUGGAAAAUCAAUGGUCUAAUCUCUACCACCCAUUUUUGACCUGUGAUCUGUGGCAAGAUAAGCUAUGGUAAGAUGAGGUUGAAUUUUCACGCAGGCUUUUACAGUAAAAAGCCAGUGAUACAAUGACUCAGAAAUAAUGUAAAGAUUAUCAUUUGGCAUAUUUUAUAUAAAUGUAGAUAGUUUUAUUGUGGAAAAAUAGUUUCACACUUUUUUAUGAAAAUCAUUUCUGUAUAUGUUAUUAUUUUUUCUCCCACCACCCAGAAGGACCAAAAUGCCCACUGACAAGGGCUGACUAUCAUUCUGAAAUGUCUCUCCUUGUGUUUAUCAAACAGAGAGAUGAUGUUGUAAACAAUUUAACUGUUAACCUGUAAUCUUUUCCUGUAUAAUAAAUGGAAAUAUCAAGUUAA